Long non-coding RNA from Triticum dicoccoides, 729 nucleotides. RefSeq lists it as uncharacterized. The record is from RefSeq and is a predicted model, not a curated record. Lineage: Eukaryota; Viridiplantae; Streptophyta; Magnoliopsida; Poales; Poaceae. The transcript is spliced from 4 exons.
UCCUCUCCCGAUCCAUCCAUCCAUAUCUCUCCCAUCUUUCUCUCCGCUCAAGCCCUCGACUACAUCACGGUGCACUGCGCCUCUGCCCCCACCUCCUUCUGCCGCCCGCCCGCGCCUUGCCGCUAGGUUAGGUCACCCACGAACUACCGACGCACCACGCCGCGCCAUCGACCUACGAAUCUACGAUCGCGGAGAAGUUGCAGAUCAUGGGAGAGCGGCCAUGCUCUGCCUAGAGAUGUCAUCUGUGGUGCCAUCUUCUUGCAUCGCCCGUGUGGAAAUUGGUACAUCGGUUUUUUUUUUUUGCGGGGAAAUACAGGUACAUCGUUGAUCACAAAUGGACACAUAUCUUCCCAAACGAAAAGCAACAUCACAAGAAGUCCAACCUCGCACUUUUGAAUUUCCGUAACCAUCGAGAAGAAAAUAGCAGAAGGUAGGAUGAAUUAUUCUACUACCGUCAACUUUCCCUUACGAGUGGCAUCAAUAAUUUUGUGUACCAGGGUUGAUUUUCUCCAGCUCGGCCCUGUUGAUCGCCACUGCUGUACACGCAACCAGAGCGUCUACCAUGUUGACCGCUAACACCAAUACGCAAGAAGAAACCUUCCCCGGUGGCGGUGAGGAACAUGACGAAGUUGUCGGUGCAUGAGUGUAUCUACGAGGUGAGGCCGGUGGGCUAUAGCUUUGUGGUGAUCUUUUAGCUGUAACUUCGAAGUUUUCUUCCCUUGCAAAAGA